Molecule: long non-coding RNA, 1018 nt
Organism: Empidonax traillii (willow flycatcher)
Lineage: Eukaryota; Metazoa; Chordata; Aves; Passeriformes; Tyrannidae
Exons: 2
Source: RefSeq, a predicted model, not a curated record
GGUGAGAAAACAAGCAGAGGACAGCAGAAAGGAAGGCCUGACAAGGGUUAACCAGCAGCAAUGGAGAGCUCAGUAGGAUUACAGGAGUGCAGAGGAGCUGCAGAAGGAGAACUGUCCAGUUGUGAGGAGGCAGAAAUGGAGGAGAGAGCGGGCGUGCAGGAGAGGAAGUUGACUGGAUCACAGGAUUUCCGUCAGAGACACUUUGCACUGCAAGAGCAAGCGUGGAUGAGGCAAGCAGGGAAGAAGUUAGGGGAGAUGCUUCAGACCAGCUUUUCAGUUAUCGAAAAUAUUUUUCCAAGCACUGUAAAAGACAGUGAACAUAAUUUAUUAACACAGAGCUUUAAGGGCAGGUUUAUGGCAUCUGAGGCUUUAGAAGAAAGCUUUAGGGUUCUGCUGGUGUAAAAAGAAGUGCCUUUUUGAGGGGAACACGUGAUUUUUCUCUUAAUGUGUGGGGCCGCUUUAAAUUUGUACGGCUGAGUUAUUAAACCAUCGUGGGAAGUGCAGCAGGAGGAGACCCGGGGUAAUUGGCUGCAGCUCCAGAUGCAGCCGCGCGCUCAUUGGAGAGCGGAGGAUUCUCCGAGAACUAAAAUUAGACAAUCUCCGCCCUCCAGAAAUGCUUCUGGAAACAGCGAGCAGGAGAAAUUCUGACACAGCCCCAGGGCCUGUGGAGAGGAGAGGAGAGGAGUGCACAGGACUCCACUCCUGGCCAAACUGCAGCCUCCAAGGAUGCACAGAAAAGAUGUCUGGGGGUUUUUUAACUCGGUUAACUGUAAAAAAAAAUAAAUGCGCGCAAUAAGGAAAUUGCAAGGGAUUAAUGUUAACUGUUUUACACUGAUACUAAAUCCAACAUUUCUUAUGUAAUAAUCCUGAAGUGUUCAUGCAGGCUGAGGAAGCCUUUGACUGCUAAAUUUAAGCUAGGGCUGUCAGACUUGAGCUCACUGAAAAGGAACGAGUCUUGCUGAAUUAAUUCUGAACUAAACUACAAAACUGGUCAACUCUUUCGAUCAGCAAUUUUUUU